Molecule: ribosomal RNA, 533 nt
Filed under: uncultured bacterium
Lineage: Bacteria
Description: bacterial SSU rRNA
Rfam family: Bacterial small subunit ribosomal RNA
Source: RNAcentral
AAUAGAUACCCAGGUAGUCCACGCCGUAAACGACUGAGUGCUAAGUGUUAGAGGGUUUCCGCCCUUUAGUGCUGCAGCUAACGCAUUAAGCACUCCGCCUGGGGAGUACGGUCGCAAGACUGAAACUCAAAGGAAUUGACGGGGGCCCGCACAAGCGGUGGAGCAUGUGGUUUAAUUCGAAGCAACGCGAAGAACCUUACCAGGUCUUGACAUCCUUUGCCGCUUCUAGAGAUAGAAGGUUCCCCUUCGGGGGACAAAGUGACAGGUGGUGCAUGGUUGUCGUCAGCUCGUGUCGUGAGAUGUUGGGUUAAGUCCCGCAACGAGCGCAACCCUUGAUCUUAGUUGCCAGCAUUCAGUUGGGCACUCUAAGGUGACUGCCGGUGACAAACCGGAGGAAGGUGGGGAUGACGUCAAAUCAUCAUGCCCCUUAUGACCUGGGCUACACACGUGCUACAAUGGAUGGUACAAAGGGCUGCGAGACCGCGAGGUUUAGCCAAUCCCAUAAAACCAUUCUCAGUUCGGAUUGCAGGCUG